Long non-coding RNA from Homo sapiens (human), 381 nucleotides. RefSeq annotates it as CHD1 divergent transcript. Lineage: Eukaryota; Metazoa; Chordata; Mammalia; Primates; Hominidae. The transcript has 4 exons. The record is from RefSeq and is marked validated.
GAGCCGACUCGGGUGGACGGCCUCCCCCGCGCCCAGGCCCGGGAUCUCCGCCGCCCAGUCCUAGGGCUCCGGCGUCUCGGGAGCUACUAUGUUAUGAUAUCUCAAACUAAUAUUUGAGACUCCUUGGCUUGAUAACUAUGAUUCCAUUGAAGAUGACUAUUGAGUUGAAUGGCUCUGUUUUCCAUCAACGAUGACAGCUUUUAAUCACAGAUCUCAAGCCCAUUAUGAACAUUAAUUAAUGUCUGACAUCGCUUAAUGAGAGUCUUGCCCUGUUGCCCAGGCUGGAGUGCCGUGGCUUGAUAUUGGCUGUCUGCAACCUCCGCCUCCCGGGUUCAAGUGAUUCUCCUGCCUCAGCCUCCCAAGUAGCUGGGAUUACAGGUG